Molecule: ribosomal RNA, 468 nt
Filed under: uncultured bacterium
Lineage: Bacteria
Description: partial 16S ribosomal RNA
Rfam family: Bacterial small subunit ribosomal RNA
Source: RNAcentral
GACGAACGCUGGCGGCGUGCUUAACACAUGCAAGUCGAACGGAAACGCCCUGCUUGUGUGGGGUGCUCGAGUGGCGAACGGGGGAGUAACACGUGUGUAACCUGCCCUACACUUUGGGAUAACUUCAGGAAACUGGGGCUAAUACCAUAUAGGAUCCCCCGUUCCAUGGAGAGGGUUGGAACUUCUCAGCUGGUGGGGCUGGACUCGCGGCUUAUCAACUUGUUGGUGGGGGAGGGGCUGACCCAGGCUGUGACGGGUAGCCGGCAUGGGAGGGUGGCCGGGGACCUUGGGACUAAGGGAGGCAGCAGACGCCAACGGGAGGCAGCGGUGGCGAGCAUUGUCCAAUGGGCGCAAGUCGGAUGAAGAGACGUCGGGUGUGGGAUGACGGCCUGUGGGUAGAGAAAAGCUUUAGCCUGUGACGACGCGGGAGUGACGGUACUGGGUGAAGAAGCACCGGCUAACUACGUG